GGGUUGUGAGGUUAAGCGACUAAGCGUACACGGUGGAUGCCCUGGCAGUCAGAGGCGAUGAAGGACGUGCUAAUCUGCGAUAAGCGUCGGUGAGGUGAUAUGAACCGUUAUAACCGGCGAUUUCCGAAUGGGGAAACCCAGUGUGUUUCGACACACUAUCAUUAACUGAAUCCAUAGGUUAAUGAGGCGAACCGGGGGAACUGAAACAUCUAAGUACCCCGAGGAAAAGAAAUCAACCGAGAUUCCCCCAGUAGCGGCGAGCGAACGGGGAGGAGCCCAGAGCCUGAAUCAGUGUGUGUGUUAGUGGAAGCGUCUGGAAAGGCGUGCGAUACAGGGUGACAGCCCCGUACACAAAAAUGCACAUAUUGUGAGCUCGAUGAGUAGGGCGGGACACGUGGUAUCCUGUCUGAAUAUGGGGGGACCAUCCUCCAAGGCUAAAUACUCCUGACUGACCGAUAGUGAACCAGUACCGUGAGGGAAAGGCGAAAAGAACCCCGGCGAGGGGAGUGAAAAAGAACCUGAAACCGUGUACGUACAAGCAGUGGGAGCCUCUUAAUGGGGUGACUGCGUACCUUUUGUAUAAUGGGUCAGCGACUUAUAUUCUGUAGCAAGGUUAACCGAAUAGGGGAGCCGAAGGGAAACCGAGUCUUAACUGGGCGUUAAGUUGCAGGGUAUAGACCCGAAACCCGGUGAUCUAGCCAUGGGCAGGUUGAAGGUUGGGUAACACUAACUGGAGGACCGAACCGACUAAUGUUGAAAAAUUAGCGGAUGACUUGUGGCUGGGGGUGAAAGGCCAAUCAAACCGGGAGAUAGCUGGUUCUCCCCGAAAGCUAUUUAGGUAGCGCCUCGUGAAUUCAUCUCCGGGGGUAGAGCACUGUUUCGGCAAGGGGGUCAUCCCGACUUACCAACCCGAUGCAAACUGCGAAUACCGGAGAAUGUUAUCACGGGAGACACACGGCGGGUGCUAACGUCCGUCGUGAAGAGGGAAACAACCCAGACCGCCAGCUAAGGUCCCAAAGUCAUGGUUAAGUGGGAAACGAUGUGGGAAGGCCCAGACAGCCAGGAUGUUGGCUUAGAAGCAGCCAUCAUUUAAAGAAAGCGUAAUAGCUCACUGGUCGAGUCGGCCUGCGCGGAAGAUGUAACGGGGCUAAACCAUGCACCGAAGCUGCGGCAGCGACACUAUGUGUUGUUGGGUAGGGGAGCGUUCUGUAAGCCUGUGAAGGUGGCCUGUGAGGGUUGCUGGAGGUAUCAGAAGUGCGAAUGCUGACAUAAGUAACGAUAAAGCGGGUGAAAAGCCCGCUC
This 1302-nucleotide ribosomal RNA is filed under the name Escherichia coli. Its description in RNAcentral is "partial 23S ribosomal RNA". It matches the Rfam family "Bacterial large subunit ribosomal RNA", at positions 1 to 1335 of the family's 2925-position model. Lineage: Bacteria; Pseudomonadati; Pseudomonadota; Gammaproteobacteria; Enterobacterales; Enterobacteriaceae. The record is from RNAcentral.